GAGUUUGAUCUUGGCUCAGGAUGAACGCUAGCGGCGCGCCUAAUGCAUGCAAGUCGAGCGAUGAGGCACCUUUGGGUGUACAUCAGCGGCAGACGGGUGAGUAACACGUAGGUGACCUACCCCGAAGACGGGGGAUAACAGGUGGAAACAUCUGCUAAUACCCGAUGGGCUCUGAGCGGAAGCGAGGAGUAAAGGCUACGGUGCUUCGGGAGGGGCCUGCGGCCUAUCAGCUAGUUGGUAGGGUAACGGCCUACCAAGGCGAAGACGGGUAGGGGGUGUGAGAACACGGCCCCCCACAAUGGGACUGAGACACGGCCCAUACUCCUACGGGAGGGCAGCAGCAGGGAAUAUUGCGCAAUGGGCGGAAGCCUGACGCAGCGACGCCGCGUGGAUG
RNAcentral lists this ribosomal RNA (394 nucleotides) under uncultured microorganism. RNAcentral's name for it is "bacterial SSU rRNA". It matches the Rfam family "Bacterial small subunit ribosomal RNA", at positions 9 to 407 of the family's 1533-position model. The record is from RNAcentral.